AAAACAAAAUGAGCGUGUGGUCCCGACUAGAUUUUGAUCUGGAUCGGGAAAACGAGGAAGAGGGAUGCUCAGAUCAGCUUGGUUAAAUUAACUUGGUCAUAUUAGCUUAAUUAGAUUAAUUUGAUCAGCUUGGCUUGAUUUGAGCGCUCGGACCCCCGCCAAAGCGGGGAGUAUCUGCGGAGACCCUCUGGGCGAUUUGACCGUCCAAAUAGUGAAUAAAUCAAAAUUGAUGAGUAAUCAUCAACACAGAGUUUAUUAACCAGUCAAAA
This 269-nucleotide non-coding RNA is filed under the name Minisyncoccota. Its description in RNAcentral is "Candidatus Pacebacteria GlcN6P sequence". It matches the Rfam family "glmS glucosamine-6-phosphate activated ribozyme aptamer". From Rfam's summary of the family: This entry contains a glucosamine-6-phosphate activated ribozyme that is found in the mRNA for GlmS. The record is from RNAcentral. Lineage: Bacteria; Bacillati.